Molecule: small RNA, 707 nt
Filed under: Pongo abelii (Sumatran orangutan)
Lineage: Eukaryota; Metazoa; Chordata; Mammalia; Primates; Hominidae
Description: retained intron
Source: RNAcentral
CUAGGCUUCUCAGCUGGGGCUUCUUCACCCUCAUUUUUGUCCGACUGGCUGGACUGAAGAACUUGGCAGAAGCCUUGGGGCUAGGGAAUGCUGAAAUACUUUUAAAGCUGAUAAACCUAGGGAAACUGCCUCCUGACGCCAAGCCCCCUGUCAACCUGCUUGACAACCCAACCUCCAUCUACAACGCCUGGCUCAAUGGCCUUCCCCAGCACAUCAAAAGCAUGGUUCUCCGCGAGGUGACUGAGUGCAACAUAGAGACUCAGUUUCUUAAGGCUAGCGAGGGCCCAAAGUUUGCAUUCCUGUCCUUUGUUGAAGCCAUGUCCUUCCUUCCUCCGUCUGUCUUCUGGUCUUUUAUCUUCUUCCUGAUGUUGCUGGCCAUGGGGCUGAGCAGCGCAAUAGGGAUUUUGCAGGGCAUCAUUACUCCACUCCAGGACACCUUCUCUUUCUUCAGGAAACAUACAAAGCUGCUCAUAGUGGGAGUCUUUUUGCUCAUGUUCGUGUGCGGCCUCUUCUUCACUCGACCUUCAGGCAGCCACUUCAUCAGGCUGCUGAGUGAAUGCUGGAUAGUCUUCCCCAUCAUCGUCAUUGUCGUAUUUGAAACCAUGGCUGUGUCCUGGGCCUAUGGGGCCAGGAGGUGAUGUCCUAAACCCAGGUUCUCACAAAGCAUGGGACUAUAGGGAAGGGUGACCCCUUUCUUGUUGCCUCUA